AUAUAUAUAGUAUAAAAAAUUACAUUUAACUUCCAAUUAAAAGAUUUUAGUAAAAUAUAUAUA
This 63-nucleotide transfer RNA is filed under the name Andrena dorsata. Its description in RNAcentral is "tRNA-Gly". Lineage: Eukaryota; Metazoa; Arthropoda; Insecta; Hymenoptera; Andrenidae. The record is from RNAcentral.